GUAGGUGACUAGCGUUGUCCGGAUUUACUGGGCGUAAAGAGCGCGCAGGCGGUCGUGCAAGUCGAGUGUGAAAGCCCCCGGCUCAACUGGGGAGGGUCACUCGAUACUGCUCGACUCGAAGGCGGGAGAGGGAAGUGGAAUUCCCGGUGUAGUGGUGAAAUGCGUAGAUAUCGGGAGGAACACCAGUGGCGAAGGCGACUUCCUGGCCCGUUCUUGACGCUGAGGCGCGAAAGCUAGGGGAGCAAACGGGAUUAGAUACCCCGGUAGUCCUAGCUGUAAACGAUGGACACUAGGUGUUGGUGGUAUCAACCCCGCCAGUGCCGAAGCUAACGCAUUAAGUGUCCCGCCUGGGGAGUACGGCCGCAAGGCUA
This 371-nucleotide ribosomal RNA is filed under the name uncultured bacterium. RNAcentral's name for it is "bacterial SSU rRNA". It matches the Rfam family "Bacterial small subunit ribosomal RNA", at positions 527 to 896 of the family's 1533-position model. The record is from RNAcentral.